UUUUAAUAUGUUGUUUGUAAGUUGCCUCCCGAAUUGGGCUGAACAACUCCUAUCAUUUUUUUUAUUUUUUUUUUGUUUUCUUACGGUUAAAUUCUUUCACCAAUCAUUUUCUUGAAACUUCGAAUUCGAUCCGGCCACCAUUUAUACACCGAUGCAACGAACCACUGGCCACGUAUUCUACUGACAUGGAAGAAUGUACACGUGUACGGUAUGAAUCAAACCACCUUGCCAAUUCUCUGGAUAUGGAAAGCGAGGAUCUAGGACAGGACAGGACAAUGUCAAAAGCCA
RNAcentral lists this long non-coding RNA (288 nucleotides) under Capsella rubella. RNAcentral describes it as "long non-coding RNA (CRUB_LNC001125)". Lineage: Eukaryota; Viridiplantae; Streptophyta; Magnoliopsida; Brassicales; Brassicaceae. The record is from RNAcentral.